AUUGAACGCUGGCGGCAGGCUUAACACAUGCAAGUCGAGCGAGCGGCGGAUGGGUGAGUAAUGUCUGGGAAACUGCCUGACGGAGGGGGAUAACUACUGGAAACGGUAGCUAAUACCGCACACCAUCCGAUGUGCCCAGAUGGGUUUAGCUAGUAGGUGGGGUAAUGGCUCACCUAGGCGACGAGCCCUAGCUAGUCUGAGAGGAAGACAAGCCACACUGGAACUGGUAGACGGUCCAGACUCCUACGGGAGGCAGAAGUGGGGAAUAUUUCACAAUGGGCGCAAGCCUGAUGGAGCCAUGCCGCGUGUGUGAAGAAGGCCUUCGGGUUGUAAAGUACUGUCGGCGGGGAGGCGUUACCCGCAGAAGAAGCACCGGCUAACUCCGUGCCAGCAGCCGCGGUAAUUC
Molecule: ribosomal RNA, 406 nt
Filed under: uncultured bacterium
Lineage: Bacteria
Description: partial 16S ribosomal RNA
Rfam family: Bacterial small subunit ribosomal RNA
Source: RNAcentral